CCUACGGGAGGCAGCAGUGGGGAAUAUUGCACAAUGGGGGAAACCCUGAUGCAGCGACGCCGCGUGAGGGAAGAAGUAUUUAGGUACGUAAAGCUCUAUCAGCAGGGAAGAAAAUGACGGGACCUGACUAAGAAGCACCGGCUAAAUACGUGCCAGCACCGGCGGUAAUACGUAGGGGGCAAGCGUUAUCCGGAUUUACUGGGUGUAAAGGGAGCGUAGGCGGAAGCGCAAGUCUGAAGUGAAAUCCCAUGGCUUAACCAUGGAACUGCUUUUGAAACUGCGCAGCUGGAGUGCAGGAGAGGUAAGCGGAAUUCCUGGUGUAGCGGUGAAAUGCGUAGAUAUUAGGAGGAACACCAGUGGCGAAGGCGGCUUACUGGACUGUAACUGACGUUGAGGCUCGAAAGCGUGGGGAGCAAACAGGAUUAGAUACCCGGGUAGUC
RNAcentral lists this ribosomal RNA (440 nucleotides) under uncultured bacterium. RNAcentral describes it as "partial 16S ribosomal RNA". It matches the Rfam family "Bacterial small subunit ribosomal RNA", at positions 338 to 795 of the family's 1533-position model. The record is from RNAcentral.